CUUCAACAAAGCCCUCCACAAACACACAAACAGUGUCUCAAGAGACGACAAGGGCAAACUGUGCAGGGAAAUAUUAUGUUCGCCAGGUGUGUGCUGGCCAUUCAGACAAACUGCAUGAAAACACCCCAGAGGAAAAGGACACUCCACCAAAUGUUACGAGGCAAAGACAAAUCAUAUGUAUGUGUCUUGGACCAUGUGUUGUGCGAGGAUAAUUACUCCUCAAUCCUGGAGCCUGUAAGUCUGCACUGAAGCACUCUGCUUGGUCCCUGCAGGGCUGGAUGCUGAUAGCAGGGAAUUGGUGUAAUUGGGGUGCCAUUAAGACAAACAAUUCCAGAUCUUAGUUUUGUGAUUAGAGCUAUUGUUCCAAAAUGCAUGUCCUAAGAAAAUGCCUGCCCAUCACUUCGGUCCAGACUUAAAAAUGUACAACAAGAUGAAAUAACAUUAAACUUGUUCCCUAUUCCUAUA
This is a long non-coding RNA of Notolabrus celidotus (New Zealand spotty), 465 nucleotides long. RefSeq lists it as uncharacterized. The transcript has 3 exons. The record is from RefSeq and is a predicted model, not a curated record. NCBI's taxonomy places the organism in Eukaryota, Metazoa, Chordata, Actinopteri, Labriformes, Labridae.